AUUGAACGCUGGCGGCAUGCUUUACACAUGCAAGUCGAACGGCAGCGCGGGCUUCGGCCUGGCGGCGAGUGGCGAACGGGUGAGUAAUGCAUCGGAACGUGCCCAGUAGUGGGGGAUAGCCCGGCGAAAGCCGGAUUAAUACCGUAUACGACCUGAGGGUGAAAGCGGGGGACCGAAAAGCCUCGCGCUAUUGGAGCGGCCGAUGUCGGAUUAGCUAGUUGGUGGGGUAAAGGCUUACCAAGGCGACGAUCCGUAGCUGGUCUGAGAGGACGACCAGCCACACUGGGACUGAGACACGGCCCAGACUCCUACGGGAGGCAGCAGUGGGGAAUUUUGGACAAUGGGGGCAACCCUGACCCAGCCAGGCCGCGUGCGGGAAGAAGGCCUGCGGGUUGUAAACCGCUUUUGUUCGGGAAGAAAUCCUCUGGGCUAAUACCCCGGGGGGAUGACGGUACCGGAAGAAUAAGCACCGGCUAACUACGUG
Molecule: ribosomal RNA, 484 nt
Filed under: uncultured bacterium
Lineage: Bacteria
Description: partial 16S ribosomal RNA
Rfam family: Bacterial small subunit ribosomal RNA
Source: RNAcentral